This 444-nucleotide ribosomal RNA is filed under the name uncultured bacterium. Its description in RNAcentral is "bacterial SSU rRNA". It matches the Rfam family "Bacterial small subunit ribosomal RNA", at positions 29 to 522 of the family's 1533-position model. The record is from RNAcentral.
AACGAACGCUGGCGGCAUGCCUAACACAUGCAAGUCGAACGAGACCUUCGGGUCUAGUGGCGCACGGGUGCGUAACGCGUGGGAACCUGCCUUUAGGUUCGGAAUAACUCAGAGAAAUUUGAGCUAAUACCGGAUAAUGUCUUCGGACCAAAGAUUUAUCGCCUUUAGAUGGGCCCGCGUAAGAUUAGCUAGUUGGUGGGUAAAGGCCUACCAAGGCGACGAUCUUUAGCUGGUCUGAGAGGAUGAUCAGCCACACUGGGACUGAGACACGGCCAGACUCCUACGGAGGCAGCAGUGGGGAAUAUUGGACAAUGGGCGAAAGCCUGAUCCAGCAAUGCCGCGUGAGUGAUGAAGGCCUUAGGGUUGUAAAGCUCUUUUACCCGAGAUGAUAAUGACAGUAUCGGAGAAUAAGCUCCGGCUAACUCCGUGCCAGCAGCCGCGUAA